Molecule: ribosomal RNA, 385 nt
Filed under: uncultured crenarchaeote
Lineage: Archaea; Thermoproteati; Thermoproteota
Description: bacterial SSU rRNA
Rfam family: Archaeal small subunit ribosomal RNA
Source: RNAcentral
AACCAGCACCUCAAGUGGUCAGGAUGAUUAUUGGGCCUAAAGCAUCCGUAGCCGGCUCUGUAAGUUUUCGGUUAAAUCUGUACGCUCAACGUACAGGCUGCCGGGAAUACUGCAGAACUAGGGAGUGGGAGAGGUAGACGGUACUCGGUAGGAAGUGGUAAAAUGCUUUGAUCUAUCGAUGACCACCUGUGGCGAAGGCGGUCUACCAGAACACGUCCGACGGUGAGGGAUGAAAGCUGGGGGAGCAAACCGGAUUAGAUACCCGGGUAGUCCCAGCUGUAAACUAUGCAAACUCAGUGAUGCAUUGGCUUGUGGCCAAUGCAGUGCUGCAGGGAAGCCGUUAAGUUUGCCGCCUGGGAAGUACGUACGCAAGUAUGAAACUUAA